CUACGGAGGGUGCAAGCGUUACUCGGAAUCACUGGGCGUAAAGCGCGCGCAGGCGGGCUGAUAAGUUGGAUGUGAAAGCCUACGGCUCAACCGUAGAACUGCAUCCAAAACUGUCAGUCUAGAGUCUGGGAGGGGAAGAUGGAAUUAGUUGUGUAGGGGUAAAAUCCGUAGAGAUAACUAGGAAUACCAAAAGCGAAGGCGAUCUUCUGGAACAGUACUGACGUUGAGGCGCGAAAGCGUGGGGAGCAAACAGGAUUAGAAACCCUAGUAGUCC
This 274-nucleotide ribosomal RNA is filed under the name uncultured bacterium. RNAcentral describes it as "partial 16S ribosomal RNA". It matches the Rfam family "Bacterial small subunit ribosomal RNA", at positions 523 to 796 of the family's 1533-position model. The record is from RNAcentral.